Molecule: ribosomal RNA, 497 nt
Filed under: uncultured bacterium
Lineage: Bacteria
Description: partial 16S ribosomal RNA
Rfam family: Bacterial small subunit ribosomal RNA
Source: RNAcentral
GAUGAACGCUGGCGGCGUGCCUAAUACAUGCAAGUCGAGCGAACGGACGAGAAGCUUGCUUCUCUGAUGUUAGCGGCGGACGGGUGAGUAACACGUGGAUAACCUACCUAUAAGACUGGGAUAACUUCGGGAAACCGGAGCUAAUACCGGAUAAUAUUUUGAACCGCAUGGUUCAAAAGUGAAAGACGGUCUUGCUGUCACUUAUAGAUGGAUCCGCGCUGCAUUAGCUAGUUGGUAAGGUAACGGCUUACCAAGGCAACGAUGCAUAGCCGACCUGAGAGGGUGAUCGGCCACCCUGGAACUGAGACACGGUCCUGACUCCUACGGGAGGCAGCAGUAGGGAAUCUUCCGCAAUGGGCGAAAGCCUGACGGAGCAACGCCGCGUGAGUGAUGAAGGUCUUCGGAUCGUAAAACUCUGUUAUUAGGGAAGAACAUAUGUGUAAGUAACUGUGCACAUCUUGACGGUACCUAAUCAGAAAGCCACGGCUAACUACGUG